RNAcentral lists this ribosomal RNA (497 nucleotides) under uncultured bacterium. RNAcentral's name for it is "partial 16S ribosomal RNA". It matches the Rfam family "Bacterial small subunit ribosomal RNA", at positions 28 to 507 of the family's 1533-position model. The record is from RNAcentral.
GAUGAACGCUGGCGGCGUGCCUAAUACAUGCAAGUCGAGCGAACAGACGAGGAGCUUGCUCCUCUGACGUUAGCGGCGGACGGGUGAGUAACACGUGGAUAACCUACCUAUAAGACUGGGAUAACUUCGGGAAACCGGAGCUAAUACCGGAUAAUAUAUUGAACCGCAUGGUUCAAUAGUGAAAGACGGUUUUGCUGUCACUUAUAGAUGGAUCCGCGCCGCAUUAGCUAGUUGGUAAGGUAACGGCUUACCAAGGCAACGAUUCGUAGCCGACCUGAGAGGGUGAUCGGCCACACGGGAACUGAGACACGGUCCAGACUCCUACGGGAGGGAGCAGUAGGGAAUCUUACGCAAUGGGCGAAAGCCUGACGGAGCAACGCCGCGUGAGUGAUGAAGGUCUUCGGAUCGUAAAACUCUGUUAUUAGGGAAGAACAAAUGUGUAAGUAACUAUGCACGUCUUGACGGUACCUAAUCAGAAAGCCACGGCUAACUACGUG